UGUGCCUGGAUUCACCUAAUGCCGGGUGACGGUGAACUGAAACUGAAGCUUAGUCGAGCAAAAUGAGGACAUUACAGUCGGGAGUAUUUAGUAAUAUAAAUAGCAGAAAAUUAGUUAACAGAAUCAUUUUAUUUUUGUGGCUUAUAGUUGUAAUUGUGAUUCAAGAAUUGGAAGGUGCCUCUAUGACAAUAGAGAAUGGUGAGUGGCCUUGGUCUGAAGCCAUAACAACAGAGGAUAAGAGCAUUAAUAGAAAGUUAAAAGUUGUGGUUAUUUGGAGAACAAAUGCUAACUAUUUA
Oxyura jamaicensis (ruddy duck) is the source of this 296-nucleotide long non-coding RNA. RefSeq lists it as uncharacterized. The transcript has 3 exons. NCBI's taxonomy places the organism in Eukaryota, Metazoa, Chordata, Aves, Anseriformes, Anatidae. The record is from RefSeq and is a predicted model, not a curated record.